Molecule: ribosomal RNA, 378 nt
Filed under: uncultured bacterium
Lineage: Bacteria
Description: bacterial SSU rRNA
Rfam family: Bacterial small subunit ribosomal RNA
Source: RNAcentral
AUACGGAGGGUGCGAGCGUUAAUCGGAAUCACUGGGCGUAAAGGGCGCGUAGGCGGCUGCGCAAGUCAGAUGUGAAAGCCCACGGCUUAACCGUGGAGUUGCAUCUGAAACUGCGUGGCUUGAGUAUGGGAGAGGAAAGUGGAAUUCCCGGUGUAGAGGUGAAAUUCGUAGAUAUCGGGAGGAACACCAGUAGCGAAGGCGACUUUCUGGCCCAAUACUGACGCUGAGGCGCGAAAGCGUGGGGAGCAAACAGGAUUAGAUACCCUGGUAGUCCACAGCCGUAAACGAUGUGCACUAGGUGUAGGAGGUGUUGACUCCUUCUGUGCCGCAGCUAACGCAUUAAGUGCACCGCCUGGGGAGUACGGCCGCAAGGUUAAA